This 253-nucleotide ribosomal RNA is filed under the name uncultured bacterium. Its description in RNAcentral is "partial 16S ribosomal RNA". It matches the Rfam family "Bacterial small subunit ribosomal RNA", at positions 524 to 776 of the family's 1533-position model. The record is from RNAcentral.
UACGUAGGGCGCAAGCGUUGUCCGGAAUUAUUGGGCGUAAAGAGCUCGUAGGCGGUUUGUCGCGUCUGUCGUGAAAGCUUGGGGCUUAACCCCAAGUCUGCGGUGGAUACGGGCAGACUAGAGGCAGGUAGGGGAGAACGGAAUUCCCGGUGUAGCGGUGAAAUGCGCAGAUAUCGGGAGGAACACCGGUGGCGAAGGCGGUUCUCUGGGCAUGUCCUGACGCUGAGGAGCGAAAGUGUGGGGAGCGAACAGG